Molecule: non-coding RNA, 28 nt
Filed under: Rattus norvegicus (Norway rat)
Lineage: Eukaryota; Metazoa; Chordata; Mammalia; Rodentia; Muridae
Source: RNAcentral
UUCUGACUAAAGUUGACCCUUCCUCAGG